UGGGGAAUAUUGGGCAAUGGGGGGAACCCUGACCCAGCAACGCCGCGUGAAGGAAGAAGGUUUUCGGAUUGUAAACUUCUGUCCUUGGUGAAGAGGAAGAGACGGUAGCUGAGGAGGAAGCCACGGCUAACUACGUGCCAGCAGCCGCGGUAAUACGUAGGUGGCAAGCGUUGUCCGGAAUUACUGGGUGUAAAGGGAGCGCAGGCGGGCGUGCAAGUCAGCUGUGAAAUCCAUGGGCUUAACCCGUGGGCUGCAGUUGAAACUGUAUGUCUUGAGUGAAGUAGAGGUAGGCGGAAUUCCGAGUGUAGCGGUAAAAUGCGUAGAUAUUCGGAGGAACACCGGUGGCGAAGGCGGCCUACUGGGCUUUAACUGACGCUGAGGCUCGAAAGUGUGGGGAGCAAACAGG
RNAcentral lists this ribosomal RNA (406 nucleotides) under uncultured prokaryote. Its description in RNAcentral is "bacterial SSU rRNA". It matches the Rfam family "Bacterial small subunit ribosomal RNA", at positions 355 to 776 of the family's 1533-position model. The record is from RNAcentral.